AUUGAACGCUGGCGGCAUGCCUUACACAUGCCAGUCGAACGGCCGCACGGGUGCUUGCACCUGGUGGCGAGUGGCGCACGGGUGAGUAAUACAUCGGAACAUGUCCUGUAGUGGGGUAUAGCCCGGCGAAAGCCGGAUUAAUACCGCAUACGAUCUACGGAUGACAGCGGGGGACCUUCGGGCCUCGCGCUUUAGGGUUGGCCGAUGGCUGAUUAGCUAGUUGGUGGGGUAAUGGCCUACCAAGGCGACGAUCAGUAGCUGGUCUGAGAGGACGACCAGCCACACUGGGACUGAGACACGGCCCAGACUCCUACGGGAGGCAGCAGUGGGGAAUUUUGGACAAUGGGCGAAAGCCUGAUCCAGCAAUGCCGCGUGUGUGAAGAAGGCCUUCGGGUUGUAAAGCACUUUUGUCCGGAAAGAAAUCCUUGGCCCUAAUACGGUCGGGGGAUGACGGUACCGGAAGAAUAAGCACCGGCUAACUACGUG
Molecule: ribosomal RNA, 486 nt
Filed under: uncultured bacterium
Lineage: Bacteria
Description: partial 16S ribosomal RNA
Rfam family: Bacterial small subunit ribosomal RNA
Source: RNAcentral